Molecule: ribosomal RNA, 484 nt
Filed under: uncultured bacterium
Lineage: Bacteria
Description: partial 16S ribosomal RNA
Rfam family: Bacterial small subunit ribosomal RNA
Source: RNAcentral
AUUGAACGCUGGCGGCAGGCCUAACACAUGCAAGUCGAGCGGAUGAAGGGAGCUUGCUCCUGGAUUCAGCUGCGGACGGGUGAGUAAUUCCUAGGAAUCUGCCUUGUCGUGGGGGAUAACGUCCGUAAACGGGCGCUAAUACCGCAUACGUCCUGAUGUAGAAAGUGGGGGAUCUUCGGACCUCACGCUAUCUGAUGAGCCUAGGUCGGAUUAGCUAGUUGGUUGGGUAAAGGCUUACCAAGGCGACGAUCCGUAACUGGUCUGAGAGGAUGAUCAGUCACACUGGAACUGAGACACGGUCCAGACUCCUACGGGAGGCAGCAGUGGGGAAUAUUGGACAAUGGGCGAAAGCCUGAUCCAGCCAUGCCGCGUGUGUGAAGAAGGUCUUCGGAUUGUAAAGCACUUUAAGUUGGGAGGAAGGGAAGUAAGUUAAUACCUUGCUGUUUUGACGUUACCAACAGAAUAAGCACCGGCUAACUUCGUG